Molecule: long non-coding RNA, 499 nt
Filed under: Homo sapiens (human)
Lineage: Eukaryota; Metazoa; Chordata; Mammalia; Primates; Hominidae
Description: HSALNT0105287
Source: RNAcentral
UGUGAAGUGUGGGCAGCUUGAAACACACGAGGCAGCAAAUCCGAACAGGCAAAGGCCUCACUCUCCAGUGCAGUCUGGGAGGACUGAUCAGGGAAGAACAGAUCAGGGUGAAGAACAGAAAGGUGAGCUCUGAUCCUGGAACUUCUUCCCUGCGCUCUGCCAGCUCCCACCUCGCCACCACCCUGGGUUCUGGAACCACGCCAAGCAGGGCAGAAACCGAAGUGCUUUUGGAAGUCCACAGGGAUUCCCACACCCACCACAGCCCAAUUUCAUCUGCCCACAGUUGCUCCCUGAACUCAGUGGCUCUGCCGCAGCAGGGAGAUGGUCUGAAGGACAGGCGUGGGGGCAGAAGAAGACCCCAAGGCAUCUCCCCAAGAUGACCACAGUUGUCCCUGAAGAAGCAGUCACAGCAAGCUCACUUCACAGGAACCAAGCUGUGGGCUGAUCCUACAGACUUGAAAAGACAACUCAAAAAGGUUUCUCAGCCUCCAGGAAAGCA